This 169-nucleotide ribosomal RNA is filed under the name Umbra pygmaea (eastern mudminnow). RNAcentral describes it as "partial small subunit ribosomal RNA". Lineage: Eukaryota; Metazoa; Chordata; Actinopteri; Esociformes; Umbridae. The record is from RNAcentral. RNAcentral also lists the same sequence under 1 other name.
CACCGCGGUUAUACGAGAGGCCCUAGUUGAUAGCCGUCGGCGUAAAGAGUGGUUAAGGAAUUUAAAUUUAUAAAGUUGAAUAACCCUUUAGCUGUUAUACGCACCUUGGGCUAUGAAAUUCUUCCGCGAAAGCAGCUUUAUGCCCCCUGAACCCACGACAGUUAUGACA